RNAcentral lists this ribosomal RNA (496 nucleotides) under uncultured bacterium. RNAcentral's name for it is "partial 16S ribosomal RNA". It matches the Rfam family "Bacterial small subunit ribosomal RNA", at positions 28 to 507 of the family's 1533-position model. The record is from RNAcentral.
GAUGAACGCUGGCGGCGUGCCUAAUACAUGCAAGUCGAGCGAACGGACGAGAAGCUUGCUUCUCUGAUGUAGCGGCGGACGGGGGAGGAAAACGUGGAUAAACUACCUAUAAGACUGGGAUUACUUCGGGAAACCGGAACUAAUACCGGAUGAAAUUUUGAACCGCAUGGGUCAAAAGUGAAAGAAGGGCUUGCUGGUACUUAUAGAUGGAACCGCGCUGCAUUAGCUAGUUGGUAAGGUAACGGCUUACCAAGGCAACGAUGCAUAGCCGACCUGAGAGGGUGAUCGGCCACACUGGAACUGAGACACGGUCCAGACUCCUACGGGAGGCAGCAGUAGGGAAUCUCCCGCAAUGGGCGAAAGCCUGACGGAGCAACGCCGCGUGAGUGAUGAAGGUCUUCGGAUCGUAAAACUCUGUUAUUAGGGAAGAACAUAUGUGUAAGUAACUGUGCACAUCUUGACGGUACCUAAUCAGAAAGCCACGGCUAACUACGUG